GUCCCCGUAGCUCAAUUGGAUAGAGUACCGGCCUCCGAAGCCGGUUGUGACGGUUCGAUUCCGUCCGGGGACGCCA
RNAcentral lists this transfer RNA (76 nucleotides) under Candidatus Omnitrophota bacterium. Its description in RNAcentral is "Candidatus Omnitrophica bacterium (sediment metagenome) tRNA-Arg". It matches the Rfam family "tRNA". Rfam says of the family: Transfer RNA (tRNA) molecules are approximately 80 nucleotides in length. Their secondary structure includes four short double-helical elements and three loops (D, anti-codon, and T loops). Lineage: Bacteria; Pseudomonadati; Candidatus Omnitrophota. The record is from RNAcentral.